CCCAGGUUAAGCGGAGGAGCUCUGAAGCUUGGCGUUGGCAAGAUUUUUGCCCAGCUUCAAAGGGAUUUGAAGGGUGGUGACAGGCUCCAGCCCAGACUGCGCCUCGGAAUGCAGACGCUUCUCUGCCUAGAACCUGGCCCGGCCCUAUGGGAAAGCCCCGGUUCUCGGCGGCACUGAACUGGUUCAUAUUCUAAAGAGAGCAGGCACUGAGCAAAUGUUUGUUGAACUGAACCAAUCUGCUAGUUAUGGGGACAUGACCUCCACUUCAUGGUGUUGAACUAAACAAACACAUACUUCUCCAGACAAAUAUUAAAACUGGUGAACUUCAAAAUAACGUGAAAAGCUCCUAUGUUUCCAUGCCUCAUUAUAUGCCACAAAAAAUCAAAUGAUAACGAGAACAAAGUAGGUUAUUUUGUUUGCUAUUUAACUUGUGUGCAGGUCUUCACAGAAUGAGAGGCAUACCAACACUCAUGACCCCAGGCUAGUUCUGUUCUUUGCCAGUGUGUGGUUUGGGAGUUCUGUGAAGUGUUUGCAGUCGCUACUAAUAAUCCAGGUGACACGGCAAACAUUGCAGUUCCUAGGUCCAGCACAAUUAGAGGAGGGUUCACUCGUAGGCAGCAUCUGAGCAACAGGCUCACCAGACUUCAGCCUCUUCACUCCGACUCUUCCACGCUCCAGCUCUCUUCAUUAAGAUAUUCUAGAAGCAACUGAGGAGUUUCUACAAACAUUUUGGAAAUUACAGGUCAAGUGGAAGUUUGUUUUCAUUUCAGUUAAGGUACGAGUUGUUCUGACUGCUGUGCAGACAUUCACACGCCCGCUGCUAGAAAGCUGGAGCUGGAAGGAGCAUUGGGGCCCGCUGAGUCCUCCUUUCUCAUGUAUGGAUGCGGAUGUGGAGGCAGGCCCUAAGUCUUAGUGUAGGUGCCGAUGGUGCAGGUUGACUCACUUAAAGAAGAAUUUGAAUCAUUAUCUAACAGAAAAAGAUCAAUAACAAGCAUUAUUGCUGGAACAUUCUAUGGAUAGACUGCUUUCUAUACAUGAUUGGUGAAUAUUGUAUUUCAAUUAAUUAUAUAUCCUGAUAAUAUAUGAAUUAAUACU
RNAcentral lists this long non-coding RNA (1095 nucleotides) under Homo sapiens (human). RNAcentral describes it as "HSALNT0137015". Lineage: Eukaryota; Metazoa; Chordata; Mammalia; Primates; Hominidae. The record is from RNAcentral.